This 269-nucleotide unclassified non-coding RNA is filed under the name uncultured fungus. RNAcentral describes it as "partial contains 5.8S ribosomal RNA, internal transcribed spacer 2, and large subunit ribosomal RNA". The stretch from base 1 to 52 matches the Rfam family "5.8S ribosomal RNA", at positions 103 to 154 of the family's 154-position model. Lineage: Eukaryota; Fungi. The record is from RNAcentral.
AACGCACAUUGCGCCCGCCAGUAUUCUGGCGGGCAUGCCUGUUCGAGCGUCAUUUCAACCCUCAAGCCCCCUCGGGGGCUCGGUGUUGGGGACCGGCCCCGCCCUCUGUGCCCGGCGGCCGUCCCCGAAAUACAGUGGCUGCCUCGCCGCGGUCUCCUCUGCGUAGUAACAUCUGAACCUCGCACCGGAGCGCGGCGCGGCCACGCCGUUAAACCCCAACUUCUUGAAAGGUUGACCUCGGAUCAGGUAGGAAUACCCGCUGAACUUAA